RNAcentral lists this long non-coding RNA (1309 nucleotides) under Homo sapiens (human). RNAcentral describes it as "non-protein coding LINC02588:21". Lineage: Eukaryota; Metazoa; Chordata; Mammalia; Primates; Hominidae. The record is from RNAcentral.
GUGAAGUAUUUUGCUCAAGGUCGUUCAUCAAAUUAGUAGUUUAAUUAACUCAGUGUUCUAGGAAGCAGGGUAGUAGAAAAGCAUGGGAUUCGGAGUCUGAAAUCUUCCUUGGUUUCUGGUCCUUGUAGGCUGUUUUACAAGUGUAUCUUGGGCAAAUCCCUUAACGUCUUGCCAUUUAUUAAGGGCUUACUUACCACGUGGCAAACAAUCCACUUUGCAUGCUGUGUCAAUUACAUGCAGUAUGUCGUGUAGUUAUUACUGUCCCCAUUUUAUGAGGUAGUUUAGGUUUAAAGAUAUUAGAAAUUUACCCAAAGUUACGCAGUUAUAAACAUUGUAGUAAUUUCAAACUCAGGUCUUCGUGACUGCAAAGGCUGCUGUCUUAAGUAUUGUAAUACAUUAGAGCUCCGGAUUCCCUCCCACUCAAAACAGAGACUGAGACUCCAACCAAUUUCCACCAUUAUUGGGAGUCAAACGAGAGAGACUGUGGCAAUGUAUUCUAAGCUGUACAAAGGUAUAAACAUAUUCACUAGAUUUGUAGAAUGAAGUUAUUCCUUCCCUAUACUUUCCACUACAACAAUUCAGCCAAAAAGAUGGCUUUCAUACUAAGCAUAAGAAGGAACUUCACUGUAAUUAUGAUAUUCUAACCAAGAAUAUAUGCAUAUCUAGGCAAUAACCAAAGUGAAUAGAAUAAAAUUUAAUUCCUGAUAGAUUAAAUAGGCAAUAGCAAGGAAUGCUAACGCUCCUCAUAGCGUUCUUGUUGGAAGAAUCAUCUAGGAGGCAUUGGGAUUUCUGGUGCUUUUUAAGCAAUGAGAGAUAUCAGUCCACUGAAUGAGGAAGAGAAUAACGUUUAGUUUCGGACUAAAAGUUCAUCUGGACUACGGAAAACACGUUUGCCUCAAUCAGUGAAGAAGGUAUGCUGAGAGCUGAAAGAAAAGGAAAGCAGCAACAGUGAGAGCUCAGAAAUUCCCAGACUGUUUUGAUGAUAAGGUCCAAGAACUUGCCAUGUGAUCCAUCACUACUAGACUCCCACAACUGCAUUAGAUUUGUUCAGGAUUUUCAUAUAAUUUUCAUAACUGGCUAAGCAUUGGAAAUGGAUGGGGAGAAGGCCUGAUGAAAAUUACUGAGGAAGCCUCUUAGCCUAUGUGCUCUGAGAGUAGUGACACCUAGCAGUCGUUAAGACCACUUAAAUUAUCCUAAGACAAUGGAUGUGAACAGGCACUUUUCAAAAGAAGACAUACAUGCAGCCAACAAUCAAAUGAAAAAAAGCUCUACAUUACUGAUCAUUAGAGAAAUGCAAAUCAAAACCACA